This 546-nucleotide ribosomal RNA is filed under the name uncultured Klebsiella sp. Its description in RNAcentral is "SSU rRNA". It matches the Rfam family "Bacterial small subunit ribosomal RNA", at positions 837 to 1383 of the family's 1533-position model. The record is from RNAcentral. Lineage: Bacteria; Pseudomonadati; Pseudomonadota; Gammaproteobacteria; Enterobacterales; Enterobacteriaceae.
GAGUGGCUUCCGGAGCUAACGCGUUAAGUCGACCGCCUGGGGAGUACGGCCGCAAGGUUAAAACUCAAAUGAAUUGACGGGGGCCCGCACAAGCGGUGGAGCAUGUGGUUUAAUUCGAUGCAACGCGAAGAACCUUACCUACUCUUGACAUCCAGAGAACUUAGCAGAGAUGCUUUGGUGCCUUCGGGAACUCUGAGACAGGUGCUGCAUGGCUGUCGUCAGCUCGUGUUGUGAAAUGUUGGGUUAAGUCCCGCAACGAGCGCAACCCUUAUCCUUUGUUGCCAGCGAUUCGGUCGGGAACUCAAAGGAGACUGCCAGUGAUAAACUGGAGGAAGGUGGGGAUGACGUCAAGUCAUCAUGGCCCUUACGAGUAGGGCUACACACGUGCUACAAUGGCAUAUACAAAGAGAAGCGACCUCGCGAGAGCAAGCGGACCUCAUAAAGUAUGUCGUAGUCCGGAUUGGAGUCUGCAACUCGACUCCAUGAAGUCGGAAUCGCUAGUAAUCGUGGAUCAGAAUGCCACGGUGAAUACGUUCCCGGGCCUUG